GAGGGACAAAUCUGUUUCUCUGGUCUCCAUCCAGGUGACUGUGGCGCUUUGAGACCGUGUGAGCGGGAUGAUCUGUGCUUGGGCUAAACUGUCCUUGGGAACUACGCCACGCUCCCCAUCAGCCAGCCCUGACAGAGCUGGCAGUGCUCCGCACGGGCAGCAUUUUGGAGAGUCGCCGUCGAGAGGAAAGCAGGAAACGGAGAGAAGGGAUGAAAAAACAAGAAAGAAAGCAUAAAAUGAGAUCAAGUCUUUGUGUUUGUUGGAGCGGUCAGGAUGUACAGUAGCUGCUAAAUAAGAGAUGGAUAACAAAGAUUAGAACAAUUUCCUUGUCACCCGUGUCGAUAGAAAAGGAUUAUGGCUGAAACAGAACAGGAAUGGAGGGAGUUUGAAAGAGAAGAGAGAAUGGAGGGGCCGCCAGAAAGGUCAUGUCCGAGCAACCAACCCACCUCGGGCAUUACUCAUUAACCUAGCAACAAGCUAAGUCCGGUAACAGUGAUGACCUGAGGGGGGAUCAAACCAGAGAGCAGCUUCACCACAUUUCUGAAAUUUUACCAUGAUCUUCUACUAAAUUCAAGCUGAGAGCCUCAAGUUAGCCAUGAAUAAUGACAACCUUGAGCUGUCCUGAGUUUAAAAUGAGUCAGCAUGAUCCGGGUCACUGAAGUGGAAACGUUUCAAAAACAAGACAAAUAUCUGAACCUCCAAAUGCCACAUAAAUUGCUUACCUCAAAGAUGAAACACUAAACUCAAAAAGACUGAAUGAGAGGCAGCUCUUUAAAGGGGAAAUGUCAAUUUCAUGCAAUCAAGAAAGAUCAUAAGAUGACUAGAUUAAGUUGUAUAAUAACCCCUUUUUGGUACCAAUUAAAUUCCUUUUAAUUUCAAUCUGCCUUUUGGCUUUUUAGAACAGCAUGAACAUGUACUGCUCUCAAUGGGCUCCAUUCAUUGAUAAAUGCAUUGAAGUGUUCUUUUGUGCACAGAGAAGGUUCUCAGAAAAAAACAGGUGCAUACCAAGGAAGUCUAUAAUACCUGGAGUCAUCUGUUAGCAUAACCAUUCAUCUCAAAGUCCCAAGACCUUCACUAGCAACUUUCCUGAGCUGUGACAUAAAAGGUAGGGGAAAGACAUGGGGAAAAUGUCUAUUUCAUGCAUUUAAAACCCCUCCAAAAACAGAUGGGUCAUUGUUGAACCAUUUACCACCGUAUACUAUUAUGAAACAACUGUGAUUUAUAUGUUGCUUGCAUAAAAGAUAUUGCUACAUUUUAUGGCUAUUACCCUUUGAUCCAUGUUCCAACAUCUAACAUCUACCUAUUUUUAUUUUUUGUUAAAUAGAAGUCUAAAGAAUAGAAAAAGCAUAGAGAACAUUAGUGUUAGUGGGUCAUUUUUUAUAAUAAAUAAAAGAAAAUAACAAAUCCCAAUUUAACCCCAGGGGACAGUUAUGCAUAUAACAAAAAAAAAUCAGCUUUGCCAUCACAGGAAUAAAAUACAUCUUAAAAUACAUUAAUUUAAACUGUAAUAAUAUUUCACAAUUCUGAUAAAUAGCCUAAAUGCAGCCUUGAUUAGCAUUAUAUGAGAUUAUAUCUUCUUCUUUUUUUUUUUUAUUCACGCAUCACACAUUUAUCUUUCUCAUUCCCUCACUACAGUGAAUGAUGCUUUAGGUAGCCUAAUGUGUUAUAAUUUAUCAUGACCCUCACUGUUCUUACAAAUCUGGCUCCAUCUUGCAUUUAUGCUUCAUUAAACCUCAUGCAGCACUACAGGCACAUUUGAAUCCAAAGAGAAGUUAGACCCAACCUGUGAAAACAUGUCAGAUCGGUUUUGUAGGUCUUUUCUAUUGCUAAUGAAACUGAGAGAUGUAUAGAUCGCUGCUGAUAUGCAAUAUGUAAUAAUCAUGGGCUUCAUUCAUGAAACACAAGCAUGGAUAUCUGUGAAAAUGUAUCUGUACUUCCUCUGUCUUAUUGAACUGAACACAACAAUUUGCAGCAAAUGGAUUUAUGAACGAUUCACACAUAAAUUCGCUCUGCUCGUGUUUCAUGAAUAAAGCCCCAUGUGCAUGCCCCAGGGAGUUGAAGGAAUAUCGGAUCAACCUAAAACUAGGUUUUAUCAGCAUUUAACACCACCUGCUCCCAUGACUGUAGGUGUCAAUCUUUUGUUUCAUCAUCACCGAAAGCUACAAGAUGUUAGGAAGAGCAACUGGGGCAUUUGAUGUUAUAAUGGUGAUCAUAUUUCACAUCCCAUACAAGUACAACAACAAGGCUUCUUCUUUAAUGGCCUACUGCACUUAAAAAUGUAAUCGUACAAAGUUGAAUGAGGCAUAAAUACCUAAAGAUGGUCAAAAUAUGCCACAGGGUCCUAUAUGUGCAAGGAUUUGACAGGUCUUUUUUAAGAAUUACAUUAAUAUACAAAAUUAUUAAAAUGAGCAGGAAUAUUAAAUUAAAUGUACUGGACACAUGUGGCAAUUUAAUCAUUACACAUAUGAAAUAUUGGUUUAAAAUUUUGUUAAAUCAUGCAAAAAUUGUCAUGUAAUGCAAAUAUUCAUGCAAUGUUUAAUGCUAAUUUGAUUUAGUUUUUAUGGGCUAAAUCAUGGCUGCAACAAAAUGAACCGAGACAGAAGUAAAUAUUCUUAACAAGAAAAAACAUUACAAAACAACAGAAAUACAAAAAGUCAAGAGAAAUGCAAAUAUAUCAUUAACUUAGAGUGUUUCAGAGUUCACAUAGUAGCAUAAUGGUGUAAAAUUCGGAUAGGAAUUGUUGUCAAAUGUUACCUGUACACUGAAAAGAAAAUGAUUCACUGAAUUUUACUAAAAGAAAAUUUAAGGUAAGUGGUUGCAAUCAAUUUAUUUUAGCUACAUUUAAAAAUAUAUAUAUAUUAUAUAUAUUUAGUUGACUAACUUUCAAUGUUUGUUUUUUUUUUUAAUGUAGCUAAAAACAAAAAUUUAGUAUCAUUUUUUUUUCAGUGUAACUUUUGGAGCUUGGAUAGUAAUGUUUGUACAUAUUGUGAAGAUAUAGAAUCUUUUUCUACAACUGUAUUGUUGUUAAAGGUUUUUCUGACAAAAAAAAAGGAAUACAAGCUUUUGAUUGUCACAUUGUUAUGUUUUGUGUUUUUGGGCAGAACAAAGAGAUUGAAUUUUGGUUUAAUAAAAAAAUUAAUUAAAGGUCAGUUUUAUUUACACAUGUAAAUUUACAGAAAUGUAGUCCUUAAACACCUCAAUAUAGUUUCAAAGGCAAACGAAUGAAAGUUGGCCUCUGAAUGGAUUUAAAAAUGGGGCUGGACCUAACAUGAAGAGGGAUCUUAGGGAGGACAGCUGAAACGGUCAAAAGCACAAUCUCUCGGUUAUUCCUACAACUAAAUGGUGGGCAGUGCAAGGAAGCCAGCACAGAGGAGAGAUGACGUCUUCAGCUGUCCUCAAGAUGUCUUCAGCCAGGGGAAUUAGCUCAAAUGGUAGAGCGCUCGCUGCGCAAAGGAAGGGGCCCAAUCUUUGCGCCCGCACGCAAGCGAAAAAGACGCAGAACACGGGAAAACGCCGAAAAAUUUCCCCUGCAGCAAUACUCGGGGUAUAUUCCUCUGCGUUUUGAAGAGUUGUAAUUACAUGUGAAACAAGUCACCCUCCGCGGCCUGGACUCGAACCCGUGGUUUUUCAGAUGAGCCGUGACGUCAUCUCUUCAGAUGAGCCGUGACGUCAUCUCUCCACUACAUGUAUUGUUAAGCGUGCAAUAAACCGAGCCUUUUUACAGUUAUCUAUGACAUACCAUUAUAUUGAUUGAUCGUAUAUUACAUUGAUUUUUUUAUUUUGUAUGUAUAUUAUUUUUGUGUUUAAAUAAAAUGAAUAAAAACGUUUCUUCAAAUAUGU
Molecule: long non-coding RNA, 3840 nt
Organism: Cyprinus carpio carpio
Lineage: Eukaryota; Metazoa; Chordata; Actinopteri; Cypriniformes; Cyprinidae
Source: Ensembl